Molecule: ribosomal RNA, 253 nt
Filed under: uncultured bacterium
Lineage: Bacteria
Description: partial 16S ribosomal RNA
Rfam family: Bacterial small subunit ribosomal RNA
Source: RNAcentral
UACGUAGGGUGCGAGCGUUGUCCGGAAUUACUGGGCGUAAAGAGCUCGUAGGUGGUUUGUCGCGUUGUUCGUGAAAUCUCACGGCUUAACUGUGAGCGUGCGGGCGAUACGGGCAGACUAGAGUACUGCAGGGGAGACUGGAAUUCCUGGUGUAGCGGUGGAAUGCGCAGAUAUCAGGAGGAACACCGGUGGCGAAGGCGGGUCGCUGGGCUUUACCUGACGCUGAGGCGCGAAAGCGUGGGGAGCGAACCGG